GCAGAUUUAAUUUAGUAUGUUGCAGUUUAUCAAUUUUAGCAAGACCAAGUAGCAGACAGAUACAGAAAUACAACGUUUAGUAAUUCGAAACCAGUAUUUUUAGUACAAACCGUGGGUUUUACUUGGCUAUUGCCUAUCUUCUACAAAAAAAAAAAGAAAAAAAGGAAGAAAAGUCAAAAAGGGAAGGGAUGUGUGCUGCAGAGGUAACAUCUCCUGCACUCCUUUCCCCACUUGCAACUGCACUCCCUCGUCCCCUGCAGAAGAAGCCGACCACCCUCUCUGCACCCCAUCUUUUUAACCCUCGACAAAGAAGACUUCCAGCCACCCUAUCUCUGCUCAUCUUGCUAGCAUACUCAAGUAUGCAGCAACCAAUUUCUUCUAUUAGUAUCAACUCCCACCAGCAUUGCAAUACUCACCCACACCUCAUUUUCACCAAGAAAAAAAAAAAUCGAAGAACAGUCCCAGCUUGUUUCUGCCAAAGCUCUCAAAUUCCAGUUCAUUCAACACACCAUAACGGAAAAGCAAGAGAAAUCACUCAUUCACUCUUUGCCAGAAACUUUAAAUGAAGUUAUAUCAUAUUCCAUUCAACUCCAACAGCAACCAACACAAACAUUCAAGGUAUUAUUGUUCUCUCAGAUAUUCAAUCCAGUUUGCAUUCAAAUAUUCAAAUUGCAUAAUCAUGUUCCACCAUUACAUCAGACAGUCCACGUUAUGAACAACAAUAGAAAGACUUAUGUGUAUUACCACUGCACUCUAGAAUAGCAAUCAUGAGAACUCCCACCCUUAGAAAACAUUGAAUAGAAUUGAGAGUGUGCAGACUUAGCUUUAGGGAGAAGGGCCAAUUGCCUGUUCAGACGAGCCCAAGGGAACGGCGAACCCCUACUGCCGGAACGGAGAAGGAAGGCGGCGAACUCUCGUCGUCUCGCCUGCAUCAGAAUAGCAGCAACUGCGGCCAGACGCCGGAGCAAGGACAGACGGCGGAGGCAACCUCCGACAUAGAGUAGGGCUCGAUCUGGGGUUCUGCGUGUGGAGUAAAGAAGAAAGAGGACGACGCCGGGGUAGACGCGUCGACAGCCGACGCUGGCCGGAGCAGGCGGAAGCUGAACGGCCGGAGAAGGAGAAGCCGACCGGAGUUGAGAGGGAAAGGCCGAUCGGAUUUUGAGAGAGAGAACUGAGUUUGAAACUUCAGGGGAGAUUUAGGGCUUUUUGCUUCCCCUUUCAUGGUAGAGACGAGAAGAGAGGCGGGCACGACCGGCGCCGACUGAUUCGCCGGAUUCUGGAGCCGCGACGGCGGACUCCUCGACUGAGGGCGGUGCGAGAGAGAGAGAAGGUAAGGAGGCAGACCGGUACCAGGGUCCGGAGCAGCGGCCGCUCGACGGAUGUAGCAGACGCCGACCGGAGCAGGAGGCGGCGAGACUUCCUAACGGAAGUGGCCGAGAGGUUCUCUGUGACAAGAGAAGGAGCCGAGCAUCGUUUUUUAGAACAGAGAGAAACCGAGAGUUGUUGAGGGAGAGAAAUUGGGCUUUUACCCUUUAUUUGUGUAUUUGGGCCUCACCCUUUUUAAUUCUUUUGGGCCAAGCUUUGGGCUUUUAAAUACUUAGUGUUUGGACUUGUAUUUAAUUUGUUCUGGGCCAGCGCCUUAUUUUAAUUGCUAUGGGCUUGGUAUUUUAAUUGGGCCGAUUUUAAUUUAGUGGAAUGAGCUUGAUGAUUA
RNA transcript from Salvia miltiorrhiza (redroot sage), 1711 nucleotides. RefSeq lists it as uncharacterized. The transcript has 3 exons. The record is from RefSeq and is a predicted model, not a curated record. Lineage: Eukaryota; Viridiplantae; Streptophyta; Magnoliopsida; Lamiales; Lamiaceae.